This 352-nucleotide unclassified non-coding RNA is filed under the name soil metagenome. RNAcentral's name for it is "partial contains 5.8S ribosomal RNA, internal transcribed spacer 2, and large subunit ribosomal RNA". The stretch from base 1 to 120 matches the Rfam family "5.8S ribosomal RNA", at positions 35 to 154 of the family's 154-position model. The record is from RNAcentral.
GAUGAAGAACGUAGUGAAAUGCGAUAAGUAAUGCGAAUUGCAGAAUCCGUGAGUCAUCGAAUCUUUGAACGCACAUUGCGCCCCUUGGUUAUUCCGAAGGGCAUGCCUGUUCGAGCGUCAUUAUCACCCCUCAAGCCCUGGCUUGGUGUUGGACUUUAGUUAUAGCUUUGCCUAUCAACUGGUCUCAAAGAUAGUGACGGCGCCCCAGAGGGAACCGGGUACGAGGAGCUUUUUACUAAGCAUGUAUCUGGGACGACUCUGGGCGACGGUCUUGUUAUACUUUUUACCUAAGUGUUGACCUCGGAUCAGGUAGGAAUACCCGCUGAACUUAAGCAUAUCAAUAAGCGGAGGA